This 71-nucleotide transfer RNA is filed under the name Marmota monax (woodchuck). RNAcentral describes it as "tRNA.Thr". The record is from RNAcentral. Lineage: Eukaryota; Metazoa; Chordata; Mammalia; Rodentia; Sciuridae.
GGGGCUGUAGCUCAGUGGUGGAGCGCUUGCCUUGUAUGUGUGAGGCACUGCGAUCAAUCCUCAGCACCACA